RNAcentral lists this ribosomal RNA (433 nucleotides) under uncultured bacterium. Its description in RNAcentral is "partial 16S ribosomal RNA". It matches the Rfam family "Bacterial small subunit ribosomal RNA", at positions 29 to 507 of the family's 1533-position model. The record is from RNAcentral.
AACGAACGCUGGCGGCAUGCCUAACACAUGCAAGUCGAACGAGACCUUCGGGUCUAGUGGCGCACGGGUGCGUAACGCGUGGGAACCUGCCCUUAGGUUCGGAAUAACUCCCCGAAAGGGGUGCUAAUACCAGAUAAUGUCUUCGGACCAAAGAUUUAUCGCCUUUGGAUGGGCCCGCGUUGGAUUAGCUAGUUGGUAGGGUAAAAGCCUACCAAGGCGACGAUCCAUAGCUGGUCUGAGAGGAUGAUCAGCCACACUGGGACUGAGACACGGCCCAGAAUCCUACGGGAGGCAGCAGUGGGGAAUAUUGGACAAUGGGCGAAAGCCUGAUCCAGCAAUGCCGCGUGAGUGAUGAAGGCCGUAGGGUUGUAAAGCUCUUUUACACGGGAUGAUAAUGACAGUACCGGGAGAAUAAGCUCCGGCUAACUCCGUG